AUAUCUCUAGCCCUCGUGAUUACUUCCUUACCCUUUGGUUUUGGAUCUUGAUCGACCUUUGGCUUAACGAACGGCUUGUAAUCCUUUUGAUAACCGGUCUUCUCUUUCUUUUGAUAACUUGGCUUUCCUGGGCUGUAGUUGGUCUUGGUGUGACUUGACCGAGCGUUCCUUCUCUUGAUUUGCUGCUAGAACAUGACCGCUUUGUGAAGCAUCUCCUCAAGCUCCACAUAGUGUUGAGUUUCUAAACGAUCUUGGAUUUCG
Molecule: long non-coding RNA, 261 nt
Filed under: Capsella rubella
Lineage: Eukaryota; Viridiplantae; Streptophyta; Magnoliopsida; Brassicales; Brassicaceae
Description: long non-coding RNA (CRUB_LNC003121)
Source: RNAcentral